This 465-nucleotide ribosomal RNA is filed under the name Vreelandella stevensii. RNAcentral's name for it is "partial 16S ribosomal RNA". It matches the Rfam family "Bacterial small subunit ribosomal RNA", at positions 338 to 795 of the family's 1533-position model. The record is from RNAcentral. Lineage: Bacteria; Pseudomonadati; Pseudomonadota; Gammaproteobacteria; Oceanospirillales; Halomonadaceae.
CCUACGGGUGGCAGCAGUGGGGAAUAUUGGACAAUGGGGGGAACCCUGAUCCAGCCAUGCCGCGUGUGUGAAGAAGGCCCUCGGGUUGUAAAGCACUUUCAGUGAGGAAGAACGCCUGGUGGUUAAUACCCAUCAGGAAAGACAUCACUCACAGAAGAAGCACCGGCUAACUCCGUGCCAGCAGCCGCGGUAAUACGGAGGGUGCGAGCGUUAAUCGGAAUUACUGGGCGUAAAGCGCGCGUAGGUGGCUUGAUAAGCCGGUUGUGAAAGCCCCGGGCUCAACCUGGGAACGGCAUCCGGAACUGUCAAGCUAGAGUGCAGGAGAGGAAGGUAGAAUUCCCGGUGUAGCGGGGAAAUGCGUAGAGAUCGGGAGGAAUACCAGUGGCGAAGGCGGCCUUCUGGACUGACACUGACACUGAGGUGCGAAAGCGUGGGUAGCAAACAGGAUUAGAUACCCGUGUAGUC